UACAGAGGGGGCAAGCGUUGUUCGGAAUUACUGGGCGUAAAGGGCGCGUAGGCGGCCUUCUAAGUCGGACGUGAAAUCCCCGGGCUCAACCCGGGAACUGCGUCCGAGACUGGAAGGCUCGAAUCCGGGAGAGGGAUGUGGAAUUCCAGGUGUAGCGGUGAAAUGCGUAGAUAUCUGGAGGAACAUCGGUGGCGAAGGCGGCAUCCUGGACCGGUAUUGACGCUGAGGCGCGAAAGCCAGGGGAGCAAACGGG
Molecule: ribosomal RNA, 253 nt
Filed under: uncultured bacterium
Lineage: Bacteria
Description: partial 16S ribosomal RNA
Rfam family: Bacterial small subunit ribosomal RNA
Source: RNAcentral